This 69-nucleotide transfer RNA is filed under the name Ovis aries (sheep). It matches the Rfam family "tRNA". Rfam says of the family: Transfer RNA (tRNA) molecules are approximately 80 nucleotides in length. Lineage: Eukaryota; Metazoa; Chordata; Mammalia; Artiodactyla; Bovidae. The record is from Rfam by way of RNAcentral.
CCUGGUGGCUCAGAUGGUAAAGUAUCUGCCUACAAUGCAGGAGACCCGGGUUCGAUCCCUGGGUCAGGA